CGGAGGGUAGGAUAGCGGCUAUUCCGCCUGGUUUGGGACCAGGAUGUCGGGGGUUCAAAUCCCCCCCUUCCGA
This 73-nucleotide transfer RNA is filed under the name Treponema sp. R8-4-B8. RNAcentral's name for it is "tRNA-Pro". It matches the Rfam family "tRNA". From Rfam's summary of the family: Transfer RNA (tRNA) molecules are approximately 80 nucleotides in length. Their secondary structure includes four short double-helical elements and three loops (D, anti-codon, and T loops). RNAcentral also lists the same sequence under 1 other name. Lineage: Bacteria; Pseudomonadati; Spirochaetota; Spirochaetia; Treponematales; Treponemataceae. The record is from RNAcentral.